Molecule: long non-coding RNA, 1016 nt
Filed under: Homo sapiens (human)
Lineage: Eukaryota; Metazoa; Chordata; Mammalia; Primates; Hominidae
Description: HSALNT0020302
Source: RNAcentral
CAGCAUGAUUCACAGACUGGAGGGUGACAGUGACCAGAGCAAGUUUAACCUUUUAAAGAGGAAGGAUCUGUUGCUUGGCUACCAGGCAACAAGGAAGGCUACUCAGAGAGGGGUCCCCACAAGGGAUGAGGGACAAGUUGCCUAACCCUGUGGCAGACGGCUCUGCUUCUCUUCAUGGUCUUGAAUACGGACCAGGCCGUCCUCAUGGCUGUGGGAACAUGACACCAACCCAGAGGCCCUCUAGAGUGCUUUUUCUGGUGACAUCCUUGCCUAGCCCUUCCAUGUGUCUGAUCUACUCUAAAAAGCCUAAAACUAAGUGAGCUGGUCUACUCAGCCACCGCCUUUCAGAGGAGGAGUUCGUUUGUCUCCAGAGGAGGAGUUUUAUGAGGACGAUAUUAAGCGACGGGGUCUAUGUUGCCAGGCCGGUCUCCAACUCUUGGGCUCAAGCUCUCCUUCUGUCUUGGACUCCCAAAGUGCUGAGAUUACAGGCGUGAGCUACCAUCCCUGCCCUGCUUGCUCCCCCAAAAAAACUACUUCAACAAAAUGUUUACGUGUGCUUACUGAUGUUUCCUCCCCAACUACUGAAUUUAUCCUUUGCUGAGCAUUACUUGAAAUUGUCAAAAGCUGGAAGUAAUGCAAAAAGAUGACUGCUUGUCCUCUUGAUGUUCUACUGUGAUGUGUCUAACAGGCCCACCAAAAUUUAUUUCAUUCACUAUAAGAAACGAGUCUUUGCUUGCCUUCAUAUUGACUAUAUAUUAGAGCCUGGAUUCAUUAACACUUAUUAACAUUACAUGUUAAUUUGUAUAUUUUUGUCUAGUAAAGAUGAAAAUUUUUGCUCUUUGGUAGAAGAAUAAUUGCGAAGGCUACAGUUUUGUUGCACUGUAGGAUAUUAACUGAUUUUGCAUCUAAUUUAAUAAACUUAUUUAUGCAUUCUUUUCCCAACUAACUAUAUAAAUCUCUGUCCAUCAAAUGCUCUUAAGAACCGUCUUUAACAUACUGCUGGUUCCCUUGUUAAC